Molecule: long non-coding RNA, 475 nt
Organism: Ictalurus punctatus (channel catfish)
Lineage: Eukaryota; Metazoa; Chordata; Actinopteri; Siluriformes; Ictaluridae
Source: Ensembl
ACAAGACCUGCACAAAACAACGAUAUCUGACACACGUGUUAAAGUGGUUAAAGUAGUAAAAGUAGUAAAAGUGGUAAAAGUAAAAAAGCGGUUAAAGUGAUAAAAGUAGUAAAAGUGGUUAAAGUAGUAAAAUUGGUUAAAGUAGUAAAAGUGGUUAAAUUAGUUAAAGUGGUAAAAGUAAUAAAAGUAGUAAAAGUGGUUAAAGUAGUAAAAGUAGUAAAAGUGGUUAAAUUAGUUAAAGUGGUAAAAGUGUUAAAAGUAGUAAAAGUACUUAAGGUGGUAAAAGCGGUGAAAGUAGUUACUGUAAAGUAGUUAAAGCGGUAAAAGUAUUAAAAGUAGUUAACAUGGUAAAAGUGGCGAAAAGUCCUAAAAUAGUUAAAGUGGUAAAAGUAGUUAAAGUAGUUAAAUGGUAAAAAGUAGUUAAAGUGGUAAAAUUAGUAACAGUGGUAAAAGUAGUAAAAGUAGUAAAAGCGGU